AUUGAACGCUGGCGGCAGGCUUAACACAUGCAAGUCGAGCGGGGAGAUGUAGCUUGCUACAUAUCCUAGCGGCGGACGGGUGAGUAAUGCUUAGGAAUCUGCCUAUUAGUGGGGGACAACAUUCCGAAAGGAAUGCUGAUACCGCAUACGCCCUACGGGGGAAAGCAGGGGAUCUUCGGACCUUGCGCUAAUAGAUGAGCCUAAGUCGGAUUAGCUAGUUGGUGGGGUAAAGGCCUACCAAGGCGACGAUCUGUAGCGGGUCUGAGAGGAUGAUCCGCCACACUGGGACUGAGACACGGCCCAGACUCCUACGGGAGGCAGCAGUGGGGAAUAUUGGACAAUGGGCGCAAGCCUGAUCCAGCCAUGCCGCGUGUGUGAAGAAGGCCUUUUGGUUGUAAAGCACUUUAAGCGAGGAGGAGGCUCCUUUAGUUAAUACCUAAAGAGAGUGGACGUUACUCGCAGAAUAAGCACCGGCUAACUCUGUG
Molecule: ribosomal RNA, 485 nt
Filed under: uncultured bacterium
Lineage: Bacteria
Description: partial 16S ribosomal RNA
Rfam family: Bacterial small subunit ribosomal RNA
Source: RNAcentral